Small nucleolar RNA from Hemibagrus wyckioides, 69 nucleotides. RefSeq annotates it as small nucleolar RNA SNORD58. The record is from RefSeq and is a predicted model, not a curated record. The transcript has a single exon. Lineage: Eukaryota; Metazoa; Chordata; Actinopteri; Siluriformes; Bagridae.
UUGCAAUGAUGACCAUCUUAGGACACCUUUGGAAUUCAUCAUGAAAACAGCUAUAUUAAUCUGAGCAAC